This is a non-coding RNA of Plasmodium blacklocki (nom. inval.), 82 nucleotides long. The record is from the annotation of a GenBank genome assembly. Lineage: Eukaryota; Apicomplexa; Aconoidasida; Haemosporida; Plasmodiidae.
AAUGGGUUCUGCCCGCGCAGGUUCGAUUCCUGCCGUUGUCGAAAAAAUUUUUGAGUAAGGUAUAUAUAUAUAUAUAAAAUAU